CGGCGAGUAGCGCAGCUUGGUAGUAGCGCAACUGGUUUGGGACCAGUGGGUCGGAGGUUCGAAUCCUCUCUCGCCGACCA
This 80-nucleotide transfer RNA is filed under the name Pectobacterium colocasium. RNAcentral's name for it is "tRNA-Pro". It matches the Rfam family "tRNA". From Rfam's summary of the family: Transfer RNA (tRNA) molecules are approximately 80 nucleotides in length. The record is from RNAcentral. Lineage: Bacteria; Pseudomonadati; Pseudomonadota; Gammaproteobacteria; Enterobacterales; Pectobacteriaceae.